UGGGGAAUAUUGGACAAUGGGCGAAAGCCUGAUCCAGCCAUGCCGCGUGUGUGAAGAAGGUCUUCGGAUUGUAAAGCACUUUAAGUUGGGAGGAAGGGCAGUAAGCGAAUUCCUUGCUGUUUUGACGUUACCGACAGAAUAAGCACCGGCUAACUCUGUGCCAGCAGCCGCGGUAAUACAGAGGGUGCAAGCGUUAAUCGGAAUUACUGGGCGUAAAGCGCGCGUAGGUGGUUCGUUAAGUUGAAUGUGAAAGCCCCGGGCUCAACCUGGGAACUGCAUCCAAAACUGGCGAGCUAGAGUAGGGCAGAGGGUGGUGGAAUUUCCUGCGUAGCGGUGAAAUGCGUAGAUAUAGGAAGGAACACCAGUGGCGAAGGCGACCACCUGGGCUCAUACUGACACUGAGGUGCGAAAGCGUGGGGAGCAAACAGG
This 429-nucleotide ribosomal RNA is filed under the name Pseudomonadota bacterium. RNAcentral's name for it is "Proteobacteria bacterium partial 16S ribosomal RNA". It matches the Rfam family "Bacterial small subunit ribosomal RNA", at positions 355 to 776 of the family's 1533-position model. The record is from RNAcentral. Lineage: Bacteria; Pseudomonadati; Pseudomonadota.